AUGAAAAAGGAAUGGGGCCAAUUAGCAGCACAGCUUGAGGUGUGCAUUGCUGCUAUUGAAUCCUGUGGGAAGAUGGGGAAAGGGACAGAAGAAGCGAGGUCUCUUCCUAGGCUUGAUCUUCUAGCAGAGCAGCUACCCACUUUUGAAGAAGUUCAGUCUGGCCCGGCAACCUUAGGGUCAUGGAAGGAACAAUAUCAGAGGCUGCGAGUGAGCCUGAGGAGUGCCAACUUGCAAGCAAAAGUAAACAUUGGAAAAGCUGCUCAAGAAGAGAGGGAGCUUCUUCUGGGAGACGGAAAAGAGUUCACUAUUCGGAGAUGUAAUCUCCAGACAAAGGCUGGGAUGACCUCCGCUGCAGAAAGUAUUACUGAGAGCCUCCGUCGGUCUCGGCAGUUGAUGGUUCAGGAAGUGGAGAGAAGUGCUAAUACCUUGUCAACGUUUGAUGAAUCGACAAGUGUUCUCCGAAAGGCUGAAGGUGAAUAUCAAGGGCACCGCUCUCUGCUGAUGCGCACCCGUGGUUUGCUCUCAACGAUGCAACGGCAAGAUGUUCUUGAUAGGAUCAUCCUGACUGGUGGGUUCCUCGUAUUCUCCUUGGCGUUGAAGACUGUUGUAAGUGCUACAACGGCACCAAUUUAUGUUGAGCCAUUGGCCACAACGCCACCCACAGUUGAAGUUACUGACCGUCGCCUGAUUCCGCUCUCUAAAGAACGUGAAGGUGAAGAAAUUCCUGCUGCUUCCUCAUAG
RNAcentral lists this ribosomal RNA (741 nucleotides) under Triticum aestivum (bread wheat). Its description in RNAcentral is "partial small subunit ribosomal RNA". Lineage: Eukaryota; Viridiplantae; Streptophyta; Magnoliopsida; Poales; Poaceae. The record is from RNAcentral.